This 233-nucleotide long non-coding RNA is filed under the name Elaeis guineensis (African oil palm). Its description in RNAcentral is "long non-coding RNA (EGUI_LNC039914)". Lineage: Eukaryota; Viridiplantae; Streptophyta; Magnoliopsida; Arecales; Arecaceae. The record is from RNAcentral.
ACGAAAUAUAUUGAUUGAGAAGCUUCUUCAACCUUGAUCAUUUUUCACUAUGAAUCAAGAUAAGAAUUCAUAAAUAUUAUAAAAAAUUUUAAUUACUAAUCUAUUCUUCCUCCUGGCAUCCGAUGCGAUUGGAUAAAUUUUUUCUUCAACUGAUAUCAGAGCCAGGCCUGUAUGUAAUGAUCGCAUAGUCUAAUUCUGAGGUUUUUUUAAUUUUUUUGAUCUAAUUUUAAAUC